This 73-nucleotide transfer RNA is filed under the name Zea mays. It matches the Rfam family "tRNA". Rfam says of the family: Transfer RNA (tRNA) molecules are approximately 80 nucleotides in length. Their secondary structure includes four short double-helical elements and three loops (D, anti-codon, and T loops). Lineage: Eukaryota; Viridiplantae; Streptophyta; Magnoliopsida; Poales; Poaceae. The record is from Rfam by way of RNAcentral.
GCCCACUUAGCUCAGAGGUUAGAGCAUCGCAUUUGUAAUGCGAGGGUCAUCGGUUCAAAUCUGAUGGUCAGCU